AAAUCUCAACCUCCUUGGUUUCUUCUGGAGACCAAAAGGAGGCUUGGACUUUGGAGGCAUUUGCUGGCAUCUUCUCUCCUUUGAAGGUCAGCUCCUCUUAAAUGAAUUAGCGGGCUCCUCUUUGCCAAUCCUUGACAUGUGAUAAGAUGCUUCCAUGCCUUGGUUUCUGGCUCUGUUGCUUCUGGGACCCGCUUCUAACCGUCUUGACCUUGCAUCGAGACAAUGUUCGAGCUCGUCUCCCUUCUCGGGGAGACACUCUCGACCCCACAAAC
This 272-nucleotide unclassified non-coding RNA is filed under the name uncultured Lactarius. Its description in RNAcentral is "sequence contains ITS2". The record is from RNAcentral. Lineage: Eukaryota; Fungi; Basidiomycota; Agaricomycetes; Russulales; Russulaceae.